ACGUAGGAUCCGAGCGUUAUCCGGAUUUACUGGGCGUAAAGAGUUGCGUAGGUGGCAGAGUAAGUUAGUAGUGAAAGCGUGUGGCUCAACCAUACUCACAUUACUAAAACUGCUCAGCUUGAAGAUGAGAGAGGUCACUGGAAUUCCAAGUGUAGGAGUGAAAUCCGUAGAUAUUUGGAGGAACACCGAUGGCGUAGGCAGGUGACUGGCUCAUUCUUGACACUAAGGCACGAAAGCGUGGGGAGCAAACGGGA
RNAcentral lists this ribosomal RNA (254 nucleotides) under uncultured prokaryote. Its description in RNAcentral is "partial 16S ribosomal RNA". It matches the Rfam family "Bacterial small subunit ribosomal RNA", at positions 525 to 777 of the family's 1533-position model. The record is from RNAcentral.